Molecule: non-coding RNA, 21 nt
Filed under: Mus musculus (house mouse)
Lineage: Eukaryota; Metazoa; Chordata; Mammalia; Rodentia; Muridae
Source: RNAcentral
UGGCACAGAACCUGCUGCUGC